CCCCACUCCUUUUCCCUCCUCCCCGUCUCUGUUCGUUAGAGAGAUGCUCCCAUGGCAACGCAAACAGCAGCAACUCCAUAGAGGCAAACCAGGAGGAGCCACGGCGCACCACCUGAUGUAUCUCGCGGCUUAUUGAAGAGCCGUGAAGCCCCGCGCGCCACCAGCUGCGGUGCUGCAACCCCAUGGAGGCGACGCAACACGAAGGGGAGAGGCGGCUGCUCGCCGGCGAAUCCCGGUGCUUGCGACGCAGCUGGCCACCGGCGAAUCCUGGUGCUUCCGACGCAACUGCUCGCCGGAGAAUCCCAGUGCUUGCGAUAUAGCUACUCAUGGUGUGAGCGCCAUGGUGCAGGGGAUCAAUUGGCCCUGAGACGCAAUGCUCACCAGCUGCUCGUCGGCGGCUCCUGAUGCGGCACGCCGGAUGGGGGCGCGGCGGUGCAGGGUAAUUGUUGUUGCGAUGCAGCGCUCAUCACUGGCUGCCAGGGUUGCAAUGGAGCUUCGCCGGAGUUGCUGUGGAGCUUCGUCGGAGCCGGGUGUACCGUUGGAGCUCCGGCGAGGCUGCAAUGGAGCUCGGCCGGAGUUGCAAUGGAGCUUCGCGUGGAGCUAUCGGUGUUGCAUUGGAGCUACGCCGGAGUUGCAAUGGAGCUUGCUGGAGUUACGCCGGAGUUGCAAUGAAGCUUUGCAGGAGCUGUCAGUGCUGCGUUGAAGCCUGCCGGAUCUGCAAUGGAGCUCGUUGGACGCUAUCGGCGCUGCGUUGGAGCGGUGGAGCUCUGCCAUAGGUGCAAUGGCGCUGCUGCGUUGAGCUGCCGUGUCGUUGUUGUGAUCCAACGGCCACCAGCACACUGAUCGGACGUCUACCUAGGCGGAUGAUCCGGCUGAUUUGUAGUAGCCCCAAGAUAAAACCAUGUUCACCCUUAAAUUUUCGACCGUGAAGGCCUUUCCAUCAAAAAAGAGAAAGAAAAACUAGACCAUCCGCUGAACCGCGCGUGACGGGUAGCGACCGACGCGCACAGCCAAAAAAAGUUGCAAGCUAGCAAAAACGAACCCCACUUCGACGGCAGACUACCGCUGACCGCCGCCUUGAUCUGCUUCCGGCGCCACUACGCCGGCCAUGGGCUGUUCGUCUUCUCUGCCAGGUUGGCCUCCUUCUCACCAACAGGCCAAGGUGACAUCUUACUUUCCCUACUUGGCCCUUGUAUCCUUUUUAUUCCUCUGUCGCGCUGCAUAUGGAAGCUGGAGUAUCGAAAUCUCAGGUCAGUAGGAUGUUGCCCUACGGGAUGGAUUAAGAUGGGGCGAUUUUAGCCUUUCGGUUAACGGCUCAGGAGGCAGGUCAAUGCUGGUGUUGUUUGGGGGUAAAUCUUGGCGGGGACUAGCGACGGCGGCCCGGUAGCAAGUUGCUUAAUUGUUGAGGUGUUUGGUUCGUACUGUAUUUGGUAAGCAUGUGUAUGUGAUUUCUUAGAUUUCUUAGAUUCUGUUCCAUAUAACAUAAGGGACUGCAUUCAUGAUCGUGGAGUAGGUUAGAGUUUGUGUUGGGGAAAGUUUAAUCUUUUUAGGUUGGUCAGUUCUCAGCUGCAAUUAGUACACUGGCACUAGGUGGUCAUGUAGAUGCGAAAUUAUGAAUUUCCGCGAUGAUAAAUAGAGUUAGAUUGCUAGGCAGAUAUACUCACAACUAGUUAUGUUUUUGGUAGCUUUUGGAUUACCACUGCAUCCUGAAUGUUGAUAAUGUAGAAUUGCUUCUCACCAAACAUGUAGGAUGAAACACUAGUUAUUGCGGUUGAGUGAUCAUGCUAUUGUGGGAGCAAUGACACAAAAUGUGUAGACAUCUGCAUUUUGUGGGUUAUGUAUAGAUUUGGGUUCCUAAAUUGGUACUCCAUCCGAUUCAUAUUACUUCUCACCCAAAAGGAUGUAUCUAGACAUAUUUCAGUGCUAGAUACAUCCGUUUGAGCGACAAGUAAGAUCGGAGGGAGUACCUUAGUCUCAUUGAUACAUGUAUGUAAGCUCGCGAAGGAGUCCCCGAGGGGGUGAGGGUGAUGUGUACGUUCUUUUUCGAUAAAGGGCGCUGUAUUACUUAAAAAGGGAUGUGUAUGUCCUAGUGACGGGUUCUCCAAGAAUACCAAAUUUGGUGAGAUUGAUACAAUAAUUAUUACACAUGACAACAUGUAAAAGUGGUAUUUACAGGGCUUCUCUCACAAGAAGAAUUAAUAUACCCCCAAACAGAAUAAGUCAGGGUCUGAAGGGUGAAAUUAUCUACAAAAGGAAUAUCUACAUGUUGAUGAUGGAGGGGCACUGAGUCAGCUCCCUUCCGAGUACAGCCGUCUCUUGGGAGUUCGGAUCAUUUGAUGUUUGUCAAGCAAACAGUACUGGAGGCUUGGGCAAUAUCAACAACGAGAACUCUGCAACUGACUCAAAGAAUUUGAAAGUGAAGUUGGUUUUACUGGGAGAUUCUGGUGUUGGGAAAAGCUGCAUUGUUCUUCGCUUUGUCCGUGGUCAGUUUGACCCCACAUCAAAGGUAACUAUUGGUGCAUCAUUUCUGUCAUAAACAUUGGCAUUGGAGGACUCCACAACAGUGAAGUUUGAAAUAUGGGACACUGCUGGCCAGGAGAGGUAUGCUGCAUUAGCACCUCUGUACUACAGGGGAGCUGGUGCUGCAAUCGUUGUCUAUGACAUAACAAGUGCAGAAUCAUUCAUCAAAGCACAAUAUUGGGUGAAGGAACUUCAGAAACACGGUAGCCAGGAUAUGAUCAUGGCUUUGGUAGGAAAUAAGGCUGACCUACAUGAAAAACGCACUGUGUCUUCUCAGGAAGCACAGGAGCACGCGGACAUGAACAAUAUGUUUUUCGUUGAGACAUCGGCGAAAACGGCUGAUAAUAUAAACCAACUAUUCGAGGAAAUUGCCAAGAGGCUGCCGAGGCCUACACCGCCAUCCUGAUUAACAUCGGUCUGUGUUUGUAAACAGCCUGGGUGAUUGUGUAAUGCACAAUAUGAGUAGAAACGCCUGAACGAACAUUUGUGGCUGUUUCAACAUGGCAGGUCAAGCCAUCUGUAUCCCUGCGAUCAUUGUUUUUGGAAACGUAGCUCAUGUAAAGCUUGUCCAUUGCUCUAACUGUGCCGAAAUGGUGGAGGUAAUCUGCUCCCAGCACGGGUAAGUUAAAUGAAGCUUAGGGCCGUGCUCUAACGCAUGGAUGUUCAGUAAGUAUCUUAAUAUGGUUGAGACUGAAACAUCUUAUCAAUGCAGUGCAUUGUUUUUAGGUUCGGCUUGACUCGCCUGUUGAGCCGCCAUUGACUGUAGUUUACUGGAAGGGUUCAUUGCCAUCACUGUUGUGGAUAAUAAACCCGGACAGAGGGAGUAGUUAAAUAAUCAGUUUUGCUGACCAAAUAAUAGUACUACUAGUUUAAUCACUUUUGCUGACUUAGGCUUCCUUCCUUGUGUUAUGUCAGCUUGAUCUCACUCGGUUAACAUUAUGCUUGUGUCGUGUGAAAGAGAGAACCAAAAACAAAGUGUUAGUUACUUCCAUCUUAGACUAGCCACAGUGGGAGUAACUUCAGCAGUAACAUCGAGUUCACCUCAGCAAAUUUGCUUAUGUGGCAAUGAGUUAAUGAGGAGAGAGGUAGUAAUAGUAACUUAGCUAGUUACUGUAACAUCACAUGUCCCAAUGCAAUAUGAGUCUACAACCUAAUAAAUGAAGCUAUGCAUGUUACCACACUUAUGUUACUACCUACUAUGAAG
RNAcentral lists this ribosomal RNA (3724 nucleotides) under Triticum aestivum (bread wheat). RNAcentral's name for it is "partial small subunit ribosomal RNA". Lineage: Eukaryota; Viridiplantae; Streptophyta; Magnoliopsida; Poales; Poaceae. The record is from RNAcentral.